This 331-nucleotide unclassified non-coding RNA is filed under the name soil metagenome. Its description in RNAcentral is "partial contains 5.8S ribosomal RNA, internal transcribed spacer 2, and large subunit ribosomal RNA". The stretch from base 1 to 120 matches the Rfam family "5.8S ribosomal RNA", at positions 35 to 154 of the family's 154-position model. The record is from RNAcentral.
GAUGAAGAACGUAGCGAAAUGCGAUAAGUAAUGUGAAUUGCAGAAUUCAGUGAAUCAUCGAAUCUUUGAACGCACAUUGCGCCCCCUGGUAUUCCGGGGGGCAUGCCUGUUCGAGCGUCAUUUCACCACUCAAGCCUCGCUUGGUAUUGGGCGACGCGGUCCGCCGCGCGCCUCAAAUCGACCGGCUGGGUCUUCCGUCCCCUCAGCGUUGUGGAAACUAUUCGCUAAAGGGUGCCGCGGGAGGUCACGCCGCAAAACAACCCCAUUUCUAAGAUUGACCUCGGAUCAGGUAGGGAUACCCGCUGAACUUAAGCAUAUCAAUAACGGAGGA